ACACAACACAGGUGUCAGACAAAUCGUAAAAGUGAGCAUUGCUGGUGGUAGUGUGGUGUUUGUAAAAGUGAUAGGCACAUCUCGAAGUGGAAAAGGGAGGAGGCGACAAGGUAGGUGCUAGUGUUGCACAAUUCG
Molecule: non-coding RNA, 135 nt
Organism: Caenorhabditis elegans
Lineage: Eukaryota; Metazoa; Nematoda; Chromadorea; Rhabditida; Rhabditidae
Source: Ensembl